This 587-nucleotide ribosomal RNA is filed under the name uncultured bacterium. Its description in RNAcentral is "bacterial SSU rRNA". It matches the Rfam family "Bacterial small subunit ribosomal RNA", at positions 336 to 916 of the family's 1533-position model. The record is from RNAcentral.
CUCCUACGGGAGGCAGCAGUGGGGAAUUUUGGACAAUGGGGGCAACCCUGAUCCAGCCAUGCCGCGUGAGUGAAGAAGGCCUUCGGGUUGUAAAGCUCUUUCGGCCGGAACGAAAUCGUGUACGUGAAUAACGUGCGCGGAUGACGGUACUGGAAGAAGAAGCACCGGCUAACUACGUGCCAGCAGCCGCGGUAAUACGUAGGGUGCGAGCGUUAAUCGGAAUUACUGGGCGUAAAGCGUGCGUAGGCGGUUUUGUAAGUCAGAUGUGAAAUCCCCGGGCUUAACCUGGGAACUGCGUUUGAAACUACAGAGCUAGAGUGUGGCAGAGGGGGGUGGAAUUCCACGUGUAGCAGUGAAAUGCGUAGAUAUGUGGAGGAACACCGAUGGCGAAGGCAGCCUCCUGGGAUAACACUGACGCUCAUGCACGAAAGCGUGGGGAGCAAACAGGAUUAGAUACCCUGGUAGUCCACGCCCUAAACGAUGUCAACUGGUUGUUGGGGAAGCAAUUCCUUAGUGACGAAGCUAACGCGAGAAGUUGACCGCCUGGGGAGUACGGUCGCAAGAUUAAAACUCAAAGGAAUUGACGG